AAAGGGAGCAAUCCCGGCCACGGAUGGGCAUGCGGCGCAUUAGCUAGUCGGCGGGGUAACGGCCCACCGAGGCGACGAUGCGUAGGGGUUCUGAGAGGAAGGCCCCCCACACUGGUACUGAGACACGGACCAGACUCCUACGGGAGGCAGCAGUGAGGAAUAUUGGUCAAUGGGCGCGAGCCUGAACCAGCCAAGUCGCGUGAGGGAGGACGGCCCUACGGGUUGUAAACCUCUUUUGCCGGGGAGCAACGGGCGUCACGUGUGGCGCCACUGAGAGUACCCGGAGAAAAAGCAUCGGCUAACUCCGUGCCAGCAGCCGCGGUAAUACGGAGGAUGCGAGCGUUAUCCGGAUUUAUUGGGUUUAAAGGGUGCGUAGGCGGAUCGUUAAGUCAGUGGUCAAAUUGAGGGGCUCAACCCCUUCCCGCCAUUGAAACUGGCGAUCUUGAGUGGAAGAGAAGUAUGCGGAAUGCGUGGUGUAGCGGUGAAAUGCAUAGAUAUCACGCAGAACCCCGAUUGCGAAGGCAGCAUGCCGGCUUCCGACUGACGCUGAAGCACGAAAGCGUGGGGAUCGAACAGGAUUAGAUACCCUGGUAGUCCACGCGGUAAACGAUGA
This 613-nucleotide ribosomal RNA is filed under the name uncultured bacterium. Its description in RNAcentral is "bacterial SSU rRNA". It matches the Rfam family "Bacterial small subunit ribosomal RNA", at positions 202 to 812 of the family's 1533-position model. The record is from RNAcentral.